GUGGGUGGAUCUGCACUGCACUUCGGGAUAAGCUUGGGAAACUGGGUCUAAUACCGGAUAGGAACCAUCUUUAGUGUGGUGGUUGGAAAGUUUUUUCGGUGUAGGAUGAGCUCGCGGCCUAUCAGCUUGUUGGUGGGGUAAUGGCCUACCAAGGCGGCGACGGGUAGCCGGCCUGAGAGGGUGUACGGCCACAUUGGGACUGAGAUACGGCCCAG
This 215-nucleotide ribosomal RNA is filed under the name uncultured Actinomycetales bacterium. RNAcentral's name for it is "partial 16S ribosomal RNA". It matches the Rfam family "Bacterial small subunit ribosomal RNA", at positions 117 to 334 of the family's 1533-position model. Lineage: Bacteria; Bacillati; Actinomycetota; Actinomycetes; Actinomycetales. The record is from RNAcentral.